Molecule: ribosomal RNA, 445 nt
Filed under: uncultured bacterium
Lineage: Bacteria
Description: partial 16S ribosomal RNA
Rfam family: Bacterial small subunit ribosomal RNA
Source: RNAcentral
GUGAGGAAUAUUGGACAAUGGGCGCAAGCCUGAUCCAGCCAUGCCGCGUGCAGGAAGACGCAUCUAUGGUGUGUAAACUGCUUUUGUACGGGAAGAAACACUCCCUCGUGAGGGAGCUUGACGGUACCGUAAGAAUAAGGAUCGGCUAACUCCGUGCCAGCAGCCGCGGUAAUACGGAGGAUCCAAGCGUUAUCCGGAAUCAUUGGGUUUAAAGGGUCCGUAGGCGGUUUAAUAAGUCAGUGGUGAAAGCCCAUCGCUCAACGAUGGAACGGCCAUUGAUACUGUUAGACUUGAAUUACAAGGAAGUAACUAGAAUAUGUAGUGUAGCGGUGAAAUGCUUAGAUAUUAGGAGGAACACCAGUGGCGAAGGCGGCUUACUGGACGAUAACUGACGCUGAGGCUCGAAAGCGUGGGGAGCAAACAGGAUUAGAAACCCCAGUAGUCC